Non-coding RNA from Caenorhabditis elegans, 214 nucleotides. The record is from Ensembl. NCBI's taxonomy places the organism in Eukaryota, Metazoa, Nematoda, Chromadorea, Rhabditida, Rhabditidae.
GCGAGGCUGGCACCGGCUAGCUCCGCCGUGCGGCAGAGAAAACAGGGUGGUCAGCUGUGGCGUGAAAAUAGUGUGCAAUAGAGAAAUGGUCACUCCACGGGCCUCAUCAGUUAUGACGGGAGGGCACGUUUGCCAUAGGGCGUGCCCUCUCGGUUUUCUUUGCACUCUCGCUUGUUUUGCAAAACAGAACAACAACACUGCAAAAAGCGAACGG